This 24-nucleotide non-coding RNA is filed under the name Arabidopsis thaliana (thale cress). The record is from RNAcentral. Lineage: Eukaryota; Viridiplantae; Streptophyta; Magnoliopsida; Brassicales; Brassicaceae.
UUUAAUGGAGUACCUAAUAGGCAC